Molecule: small RNA, 109 nt
Filed under: Oesophagostomum dentatum (nodular worm)
Lineage: Eukaryota; Metazoa; Nematoda; Chromadorea; Rhabditida; Strongylidae
Description: SL2 RNA
Rfam family: SL2 RNA
About the family: This family represents SL2 RNA.
Source: Rfam by way of RNAcentral
GGUUUUAACCCAGUAUCUCAAGGUACUAAGGGCGUCUGACCUACACUCAGGUGUUGUGUCAAAAACCUUAAUUUUUGGAUCGCCUUCUCGGGGUAUCCGGGAGGGCAAC